RNAcentral lists this ribosomal RNA (480 nucleotides) under uncultured bacterium. RNAcentral's name for it is "partial 16S ribosomal RNA". It matches the Rfam family "Bacterial small subunit ribosomal RNA", at positions 28 to 507 of the family's 1533-position model. The record is from RNAcentral.
GACGAACGCUGGCGGCGUGCUUAACACAUGCAAGUCGAACGAUGAAGAAAAGAAUCGAAGCUUCGGCAGAAAUUCAUUUCGGAUUAGUGGCAGACGGGUGAGUAACGCGUGAGCAACCUACCUCUUACAAAGGGAUAGCCUCGGGAAACCGGGAUUAAUACCAUAUAACAUUGCGACGAAGCAUUUCGAUGCAAUCAAAGCUACGGCGGUAAGAGAUGGGCUCGCGUCCCAUUAACCGGAUGGUGAGGUAACGGCUCACCAUAGUGACGAUGGGUAACCGGCCUGAGAGGGUGAACGGUCACACUGGAACUGAGACACGGUCCAGACUCCUACGGGAGGCAGCAGUGGGGAAUAUUGCACAAUGGAGGGAACUCUGAUGCAGCGACGCUGCGUGAGUGAUGAAGGAAUUCGUUUCGUAAAACUCUGUUCUAUGGGAAGAAAAGGACUGUACCAUAGGAGAAAGCUCCGGCUAAAUACGUG